Molecule: non-coding RNA, 1372 nt
Organism: Meleagris gallopavo (turkey)
Lineage: Eukaryota; Metazoa; Chordata; Aves; Galliformes; Phasianidae
Source: RefSeq, a predicted model, not a curated record
UCAAACCUGAGGCAUACCUAAUCGUGGCUUGAAGGCAAUUUAAGUUCUGUGUAUCCAAUUAAUGUGGGAAGUCUAACCAAAUUGUUUUCCUUGUGUGUUUCAUAUUUCACCAGGCCUACCAAUGACCUGAGAUACCCAAUGAAUUCAGAAAAAAUGCACAAUUUAGGAUGGAGACCUAAAGUGCCUUGGAAAGAAGGAAUAAAGAAAACAAUUGAAUGGUACAAGGAAAACUUUCACAACUGGAAGAAUGCUGAGAAAGCUUUGGAGCCCUUUCCUGUGACAGAGCCAUUUGCACAACUUAACGUUCCAUAAGGUGGCUGGCAGCCUGAAGGAGUCUAUUCUACCUCAUACAGCCUCUUCUUCUCCUGCAAUCAAGUGACCACACUGAACUCUUAAUGUAUUCAGGAUAAUGUGAGCCAUGAUGAAUGCAGAGUAAUAGAAAAGAACUUUGGAAGGGUUCAGCACUUUAUAAGUUUAAUCCAUUGAUUUCAGCUUUUGGUGCAAUAUUAUAUCUUCAUUAGGUAUAGAUAAACUUUUUUGAGUAUUUUACAGGGUGAAGAAUUUUAUGUUAAAUUAGUGUAAUGGAUGUCAAAUCUUCCUUAUUCCUUUGGAAUGAGAAGAUGAUUACAAUAUUUGGGAUUCCAGUGAAUGAAUAUGUUCAUUCAUUAACAUACUUAGCUCUGAAGUUUUUCAUCUGCAUUAGUUUUCUUACAAUGUAAUGUGUUUUGUCACUUUGAACAGUUGUCUUCUAUUUCAAAUCAAAGAGAAAAGGUAACUGCUUGCUAGAGAAUAUAAAUUGGUUGAUAAAAGCUAAGUAUGGUACCCAUAUGGUUCACGGUUCUUUAUUGUUGCAGUAUUGUCUUGAGCAGAGGACCAAUUAAACUGUUACCUUCCUAAUGCUCAAUUUCUAAAGGAGUGGAGGUAGAAAAGGUGCCAAGAAAAUAGCUGUUCUUGAUGAAAUUUCUACAAGACUUUCUUAAACUUUGCUUCUCUGUCUUGAAUGUCAUCUGUUUACUAUAUUAUGGCCUUUUACUUCAAUUGUAACGAACUUGAAGUACUGUAACACAGUUAACAUUCCAGUAGCAUAACUUUCUAUAGUAUGAAGAGGAAAAUUGAGGAAAAGUUUUAAAUACUUCAUUUGAAUUGUGGGUUGGCACACCUUUUUCAAUACUGUUUCACUUCUUGUUUUUUUUGCGGCAAAUUUUAAAGAUGUAACAAUAUAUGAGUUUUAAUGUAAAAUUUCAGAAGAAACUUCAGUUCUGGAAAUCUGUCAAUAAAUCUUUGUCAAAUGUGAUUUAUUGCUAUAAGUUACAGUGUAACUGAUUUCACUUAAUUGUGAAUAAACUGAGCUAGUGCGUAGCAGCUGGAAAAA